Larimichthys crocea (large yellow croaker) is the source of this 2865-nucleotide RNA transcript. It is a transcript of the gene named protein kinase, AMP-activated, gamma 3b non-catalytic subunit, with no coding region annotated. The transcript is spliced from 14 exons. Lineage: Eukaryota; Metazoa; Chordata; Actinopteri; Sciaenidae. The record is from RefSeq and is a predicted model, not a curated record.
CUUUUGUUUUCUCUGUUAACAGUGGGUCAGAUGAGUAAUGUGAAAGUUGUUACUCACUGUGACAAACCCACAGAGAUUCAUCACUGUCGGCAAUACAGAGUUAUUUAUUGUCUGUCGCCUCAUUGUUUUGGUUUUACGGCCCACAACUUUCUUCUUUUUUCUUUUUCUGCAAAAAAACUCUGCCACUGUACGCCAUCCGCCCAACACCAUGACCAAGUUAGCUACUCUAGGCUGAACAUUUCUGGCAUUUAAGACCAAAAUUAAAUUGUGUUUCAAAAGCAGAACUUAAAGGCAAAGCAAAUAUUGUGCUGACAUUUAUCAGGAAUUAACCCAUCUGCACUGUGCUCACUUCUUCUGUGAGCUUUGUCAUUCUUCUCAGUUAUUGAUGAGUUUUAAAGGACCAUGUGGUGUUUUUGUUUUUUAUUUAUUCCCCCUCACUCACUCUCUCUCUGUACACAUUUCCCCUCCCACUCUCCCUCCCCUCCCUCUCUCUCUCUGUCUGUGCCACAGGCCUGUCGCCCCUCAGUCCAGAUUUAGACCUCAGUCUUUCCCAGACAUUUAGACCCUGCUGGCUGAAGCCUGUCCGGUGGUGCACAGGUUCCCUCGUCUUCUGUGUCCAGUACCUUCAUCUUUCCUUCCUCCCUUUAUCCACCCUUCUUCGCCAUGCCUGCUCUCUUUCAUCACUUCUUUAUUUGACAUGGUAGCAGAGCCUGCCAGAUGUCUGGGUUGGACUGCAGGGCGAGGGUUGUAAGUCCAGGGUUUUGGCAGUUGGUCUGCUCCCAAAGAGGGAGACCUUCUGCUUCUCUUUUCCAGCCAUGGAGCCUUUUGCAGAGGUGCCGUUAUUUGAGAUGGACCAAGACGAGGAUGAGGAGGAGGAUGUUCUCUCAAUGAAGAGCAGAGGCGACUGUACACAUGCAAGACAUGAUCUUGUGCCCCCUGCAAGCACAGAGCAUGACACAUUUAUAUACACGAACUUCAUGAAGAGUCACUGCUGCUAUGACGCCAUUCCUACCAGCUCCAAACUGGUCAUUUUUGACACAACGCUACAGGUGAAGAAGGCCUUCUUUGCACUGGUGGCUAAUGGUGUGAGGGCAGCACCACUGUGGGACAACAAGCUUAAGUGUUUUGUGGGUAUGCUGACCAUCACUGAUUUCAUCAACAUUCUCCAUCGUUAUUACAAGUCUCCUCUGGUUCAGAUCUAUGAGCUUGAAGAACACAAAAUAGAAACAUGGAGAGAGAUUUAUCUACAGUACUCUAUCAACAGACUGAUCAGCAUCACUCCUGACUGCAGUUUGUUUGAUGCCAUCUACUCCUUGUUGAAGAAUAAGAUACAUCGGCUGCCGGUCAUCGACCCAGUAUCAGGAAAUGUCCUCCACAUCCUCACUCACAAACGCAUCCUCAAGUUCCUCCACAUCUUUGGAUCCAUGAUUCCUAAACCCAGGUUUCUUCAAAAGCGGAUCCAUGAAGUGGCGAUCGGUACCUUUAAACAGAUUGCGACAGUCCAGGAAACAGCCUCCGUAUAUGAUGCUCUCACCAUUUUUGUAGAGAGAAGAGUGUCCGCUCUGCCUGUAGUCAACGAGCAAGGUAAAGUGGUGGCCCUGUACUCCAGGUUUGAUGUCAUUAACCUUGCAGCCCAGAAAAACUACAACAAUCUCAACAUGACGAUGCAGGAGGCCAUCGCCUCUAGAGCAUGCUGUAUGGAGGGAGUCCUCAAGUGUUACCCUUACGAAACACUGGAGACCAUCAUUGAUCGCAUCGCAAAGGCUGAGGUACAUCGACUGGUGUUGGUUGACAGUGAUGAUGUGGUGAGAGGGAUUGUCUCUCUAUCUGACCUCCUACAAGCCCUGGUUCUUACUCCUGCAGCUUCACGCUCCUUCUGGCAACCUACUGUAUCUCCUUCUGCUCCUGUGAACACUCAUGUUCCUACUGAACAAACUCUUCGUCAUCCAAAUUUUCAUCCUCCUGAAGACAAUGGAGCUCUUUCUUCUCUUCCUGUAAGAUAUUCUCACCAUCAAAGUUCCAAAAUCUUCGGAUCCUUUCAGCUACCCAUCUUGUAUUCCUACCAAGAUCAGCCUCUCCUAUUGAAAUCCUAUUUGAAAACCCUCUACCCAGCCAACUAGACACUAUUGAAUAGCCUAAUCAAUCUUCGAAAACAACUUCCAAACCAGUUCUGUUGCCUCUACCAAAAUCCCUUGACCCUUAUCGUCUACGUUGUCACCAGACCUCCACUCCUUCUCCCAAACAUAACUCUUUCGUCAAUCAGCUGCCGUCUUCAUGAUGCAGUUUCUUCUAUGAAACCACCAUCACCUCUUAGCCAACACAUCCCAGAUAUCUUUGAGAGAUCAUGCCGUCAAGACUGAAGAAAACAAGAUGGAGACUGAUCACAUAAAACAUGACUGUGAGAUGGCAAAAUUGGAGAUUAGCAGAGCAGGGUAAUGACCCCAGAGGACAAAUAGAAAGUGAAAAAGGAAACACUUUCACGCUUCUGUGAAGCGAAGCAGCUCAGUGGUCGCCAAUAAACAACUGUGGUUGUGCUGGGAAGCUACCAAUGUUGAUGUACAUAUCAUAUGGCUGGAACACAGCAUCGAACUGAUGAUGCACAUCCAGAGACUUUUAAACUGAACUAAAGCAUUAAAUCUGAGGUUAUUUUGCAAGUUGGGUUACUUUGGAAUUGAGAUUUUUAAAAAAGUGAUGUUUAAUGGUUUGUAAUUAACCUUUCUGGUCUUAGAAGGAUUACAAAUGACUCAUUCAUAUAUUGAAAAUAUUAGAUCAUACAAUUAUGAGCAUAUUUUUGUAAAUACACUUGUCAUUGUGAAAGAUAAAUAAAUAUAUCCCCUUGAAGUGCACUGGUAAUUACAAUACUGC